RNAcentral lists this long non-coding RNA (610 nucleotides) under Marmota monax (woodchuck). The record is from RNAcentral. Lineage: Eukaryota; Metazoa; Chordata; Mammalia; Rodentia; Sciuridae.
UAUAAUACCUAAUGCAAUAUAAAUAGUAUGUAAAUAAUUGUUAUGCUAUUUAGGGAAUUAGGACACAUGGAAAAAUCUGUACAUGUUUAAAACAGGUGCAAUUUUUAAAAAUAUUUUCAAUCUCUGGCUGGUUGAAACUGUGGAUACAAAACCCACAGAUCAGAGGACCAAAUGUACUUACUACCUCCAAAUUAUUGUAAGACAAAAGUUUGUUUUUAUUCUCACACACACACACACACACACACACACACACACGCACACACACACAGUACCUAGAACAGGGCCCAGAACAUAGUAAGUAAGCUCUUAUUUUUUGAUCAUGAAGAACCAGAUAAUGGAAAGCCUUGAAGAUCAGGUUGGGGGACUUUAAAUUUAAAUCAGUAGGCACUACUCACUGCACAGGAUAUGGUGUGACAUGUAGAAGCUACUGAAAGACAUUAAUCUGACAGUAUAGCCUGGAGAUAUGGGCUGGAUUGGAAAGAAUUUGGAUGCAGAGACCUGUUGGUCAUUCAGGGGUUUUGGUAUUGUUUUGAUUUUUUGGUUUCUGAGGUUUUGUUUUUGUUUUGCAGUGCUGAGGAUGGAACCCAGGGCCUUGGACAUGUUAGACAAG